GGGGAUUUAGCUCAGUGGUAGAGUGCUUGCCUGGCAAGCACAAGGCCCUGGGUUCAGUCCCCA
Molecule: transfer RNA, 63 nt
Filed under: Rattus norvegicus (Norway rat)
Lineage: Eukaryota; Metazoa; Chordata; Mammalia; Rodentia; Muridae
Rfam family: tRNA
About the family: Transfer RNA (tRNA) molecules are approximately 80 nucleotides in length. Their secondary structure includes four short double-helical elements and three loops (D, anti-codon, and T loops).
Source: Rfam by way of RNAcentral